CCACUGGACUAGCACUCAUAGCCUUUAAUUGUAGUGCUUUACAAAUCUUUGUUGGCGACAUUGAUGGACAUACACCUACACAGAUCUUUACUAUUAUAUAUUGAAGCUUAAGAUCAUCUUGUGGCAAUGGAGAGAAAUAAAAAUAUUAUCAUCGUGCAACAUAGCUUGUUGCCGUUAAAAGGGUUGGAGGACAACUAUAUCAACUGAAGCCACGACAUAUUCCUUGGAUGGUAUACAUAUCAGACUCCUUAUGCUCGAGAAAAAUAUGACUACAUAAGGACAAAUUCAGUCUGAUACUUGACGAUAUGUGUAUUUGGAGAUCCUUACAUAGACCAUAGAUAGUAUGGAUUUCUGAGUUAAAUAGUAAUCUACAGGA
Molecule: long non-coding RNA, 376 nt
Filed under: Elaeis guineensis (African oil palm)
Lineage: Eukaryota; Viridiplantae; Streptophyta; Magnoliopsida; Arecales; Arecaceae
Description: long non-coding RNA (EGUI_LNC048431)
Source: RNAcentral